Molecule: small RNA, 486 nt
Filed under: Arabidopsis thaliana (thale cress)
Lineage: Eukaryota; Viridiplantae; Streptophyta; Magnoliopsida; Brassicales; Brassicaceae
Description: ATSL266610
Source: RNAcentral
AUUAUGUUUAACUAUUUUAAUUGCUAAUUUAUGUUAUUUUUGUGUAUGUUAUUAUGUAGUUAAUAAAGUUAUAUUUUAUUUUAGGUAAUUAUACUUGUAUAGUUAGAUUCACUUUUGAUUCAAAUAUCAAUUAUAUUUUUUUCAUGUAUAAAUCUUCUUAUCUAUAUACCCAAGUUUUUAAACUUUUUUAACUAUCAUAAAAUACUUACAUCAACAAUAUGAUACAAUGUUAUGCAAUUAUGCUACUUAUUUGGUUUGAAAGUUGGGAGAUUUACAAAACUACCCUUUUUUAUUACCCUUUUGCAACAAUAUCCUUUUAUGUUGUCCAUUUUUAAAAAUACCCCUUCCCUUGAACAAAAUGACCAAAUUACCCUCAUCUAAUAGGAACAUGUAAUUGGAAACUGAAAUUUUCCCGCCAAUUUUUGUGCGCCAAAAUUUAUUUUUCCCGCCAAAAAAAAAUUCCCGAUAAACUUUUUUUCCGCAAAA